RNAcentral lists this ribosomal RNA (519 nucleotides) under uncultured bacterium. Its description in RNAcentral is "bacterial SSU rRNA". It matches the Rfam family "Bacterial small subunit ribosomal RNA", at positions 37 to 518 of the family's 1533-position model. The record is from RNAcentral.
UGGCGGCGUGCCUAAUACAUGCAAGUCGAGCGCGGGAAGCGGACAAUCACCCUUCGGGGUGUGCGUCCGUGGAACGAGCGGCGGAUGGGUGAGUAUCACGUGGGCAACCUGCCUGUAAGAUUGGGAUAACUCGCGGAAACGUGAGCUAAUACCGAAUGAAGUCUUUCACCGCCUGGUGAAAGGAUGAAAGAUGGCUCUUGAGCUAUCACUUACAGAUGGGCCCGCGGCGCAUUAGCUAGUUGGGUGGGGUAAAGGCCUACCAAGGCGACGAUGCGUAGCCGACCUGAGAGGGUGAUCGGCCACACUGGGACUGAGACACGGCCCAGACUCCUACGGGAGGCAGCAGUAGGGAAUCUUCCGCAAUGGACGAAAGUCUGACGGAGCAACGCCGCGUGAAGUGAUGAAGGUCUUCGGAUCGUAAAACUCUGUUGUCAGGGAAGAACAAGUUGUGUUCUAACAGGACAUGACCUUGACGGUACCUGACCAGAAAGCCCCGGCUAACUACGUGCCAGCCGCCGC